RNAcentral lists this ribosomal RNA (460 nucleotides) under uncultured bacterium. RNAcentral's name for it is "partial 16S ribosomal RNA". It matches the Rfam family "Bacterial small subunit ribosomal RNA", at positions 338 to 795 of the family's 1533-position model. The record is from RNAcentral.
CCUACGGGUGGCAGCAGUGAGGAAUAUUGGUCAAUGGACGAGAGUCUGAACCAGCCAAGUAGCGUGAAGGAUGACUGCCCUAUGGGUUGUAAACUUCUUUUAUAUGGGAAUAAAAUGUUCCACGUGUGGGAUUUUGUAUGUACCAUAUGAAUAAGGAUCGGCAAACUCCGUGCCAGCAGCCGCGGUAAUACGGAGGAUCCGAGCGUUAUCCGGAUUUAUUGGGUUUAAAGGGAGCGUAGGUGGAUUGUUAAGUCAGUUGUGAAAGUUUGCGGCUCAACCGUAAAAUUGCAGUUGAAACUGGCAGUCUUGAGUACAGUAGAGGUGGGCGGAAUGCGUGGUGUAGCGGUGAAAUGCUUAGAUAUCACGAAGAACUCCGAUUGCGAAGGCAGUUCACUGGACUGCAACUGACACUGAGGCUCGAAAGUGUGGGUAUCAAACAGGAUUAGAUACCCGGGUAGUC